UUGCGGGAGCUUCCUCACCGCGGGCGC
This 27-nucleotide small RNA is filed under the name Bombyx mori (domestic silkworm). RNAcentral describes it as "ovarian small RNA-2397". Lineage: Eukaryota; Metazoa; Arthropoda; Insecta; Lepidoptera; Bombycidae. The record is from RNAcentral.